RNAcentral lists this transfer RNA (66 nucleotides) under Notospermus geniculatus. RNAcentral describes it as "tRNA-Trp". The record is from RNAcentral. Lineage: Eukaryota; Metazoa; Nemertea; Pilidiophora; Heteronemertea; Lineidae.
GGGUCUUUAGGUUAAUGUCCAAACUUGGGGCCUUCAAAGUCUCAGAUGUCUUUUUGUCAAGGCCCG